Small RNA from Buttiauxella agrestis ATCC 33320, 119 nucleotides. The record is from Rfam. NCBI's taxonomy places the organism in Bacteria, Pseudomonadati, Pseudomonadota, Gammaproteobacteria, Enterobacterales, Enterobacteriaceae.
AGUUAUUUGCGUAGGGUACAGAGGUAAGAUGUUCUAUCUUUCAGACCUUUUACUUCACGUAAUCGGAUUUGGCUGAAUAUUUUAGCCGCCCCAGUCAGUAAUGACUGGGGCGUUUUUUA